RNAcentral lists this ribosomal RNA (577 nucleotides) under Campylobacter jejuni. Its description in RNAcentral is "partial 23S ribosomal RNA". It matches the Rfam family "Bacterial large subunit ribosomal RNA", at positions 1 to 591 of the family's 2925-position model. The record is from RNAcentral. Lineage: Bacteria; Pseudomonadati; Campylobacterota; Epsilonproteobacteria; Campylobacterales; Campylobacteraceae.
AAAGGUAAGCUACUAAGAGCGAAUGGUGGAUGCCUUGACUGGUAAAGGCGAUGAAGGACGUACUAGACUGCGAUAAGCUACGGGGAGCUGUCAAGAAGCUUUGAUCCGUAGAUUUCCGAAUGGGGCAACCCAAUGUAUAGAGAUAUACAUUACCUAUAUAGGAGCGAACGAGGGGAAUUGAAACAUCUUAGUACCCUCAGGAAAAGAAAUCAAUAGAGAUUGCGUCAGUAGCGGCGAGCGAAAGCGCAAGAGGGCAAACCCAGUGCUUGCACUGGGGGUUGUAGGACUGCAAUGUGCAAGAGGUAAGUUUAGCAGAACAUUCUGGAAAGUAUAACCAUAGAGGGUGAUAGUCCCGUAUGCGAAAAACAAACCUUAGCUAGCAGUAUCCUGAGUAGGGCGGGACACGAGGAAUCCUGUCUGAAUCCGGGUCGACCACGAUCCAACCCUAAAUACUAAUACCAGAUCGAUAGUGCACAAGUACCGUGAGGGAAAGGUGAAAAGAACUGAGGUGAUCAGAGUGAAAUAGAACCUGAAACCAUUUGCUUACAAUCAUUCAGAGCCCUAUGUAGGAAUACAG